Molecule: ribosomal RNA, 676 nt
Filed under: uncultured bacterium
Lineage: Bacteria
Description: bacterial SSU rRNA
Rfam family: Bacterial small subunit ribosomal RNA
Source: RNAcentral
AGAGUUUGAUCCUGGCUCAGGACGAACGCUGGCGGUGUGCUUCACACAUGCAAGUCGAGCGAAUGAAGUAGGUAGCUUGCUACUUAUGGAUUUAGCGGCGGACGGGUGAGUAAUAUAUAGGAAUCUGCCUUAGAGCGGGGAACAACAGACCGAAAGGUUUGCUAAUGCCCCAUAGGUAUGCAGUCUUCGGAUUGUAUAUUAAAGGAGUAAUCCACUCUAAGAUGAGCCUGUAUCCGAUUAGCUAGUUGGCGGGGUAAAGGCCCACCAAGGCUACGAUCGGUAGUUGGUCUGAGAGGAUGAUCAGCCACAAUGGGACUGAGACACGGCCCAUACUCCUACGGGAGGCAGCAGUGGGGAAUUUUACACAAUGGGGGAAACCCUGAUGUAGCGACACCGCGUGAACGAAGAAGCCUUUUGGGGUGUAAAGUUCUGUCGGCUGGAACGAAAAAAAUGACGGUACCAGCAAAGGAAGCAUCGGCUAACUACGUGCCAGCAGCCGCGGUAAGACGUAGGAUGCAAGCGUUGUCCGGAUUUAUUGGGCGUAAAGAGUUCGUAGGCGGUUAUUUAAGUCCGAUGUUAAAUACUGUGGCCCAACCACAGAACUGCAUUGGAUACUGGAUGACUUGAGUGCGGUAGAGGCGAGUGGAAUUCCCAGUGUAGCGGUGAAAUGCGUAGA